UUCCCUAUAUCCCAGAAGCUUGUUCUCGCCUUCAGGCGAAGUCUCCUGGCAAUAAAACCAAGACUCUCCCCAGCCUUUGGGAUGGCUUGGCAUGGCGAGUGACGGGAAAGAGCUAUCCCUGCGGUGCUGAACGUUGACACCACCAAGCUCCAGGCUGGGGCCAUUGUGAAAUUCUGUUUGGCGAUUCAAGUGGAAGAAGUACCAGAAUAAGGGAACUGAGGUUUCCAUCCGCAAGUAAGCCUCACAAACAC
This 251-nucleotide long non-coding RNA is filed under the name Hordeum vulgare. RNAcentral's name for it is "long non-coding RNA (HVUL_LNC010580)". Lineage: Eukaryota; Viridiplantae; Streptophyta; Magnoliopsida; Poales; Poaceae. The record is from RNAcentral.